UGGGGAAUCUUGGGCAAUGGGCGAAAGCCUGACCCAGCAACGCCGCGUGGGUGAUGAAGGCCUUCGGGUCGUAAAGCCCUGUCGGAAGGAAAGAAAUACCCCGGGGUUAAUACCUCCGGGACGUGACGGUACCUUCAAAGGAAGCACCGGCUAACUCCGUGCCAGCAGCCGCGGUAAGACGGAGGGUGCUAGCGUUGUUCGGAAUUAUUGGGCGUAAAGCGCGUGUAGGCGGUCCGUUAAGUCAUGCGUGAAAGCCCUCGGCUCAACCGGGGAACGGCGUAUGAAACUGGCGGACUAGAGUACGGAAGAGGGGGGUGGAAUUCCAGGUGUAGCGGUGAAAUGCGUAGAUAUCUGGAGGAACACCGGUGGCGAAGGCGGCCCCCUGGUCCGACACUGACGCUGAGACGCGAAAGCGUGGGGAGCAAACAGG
RNAcentral lists this ribosomal RNA (430 nucleotides) under uncultured bacterium. RNAcentral describes it as "bacterial SSU rRNA". It matches the Rfam family "Bacterial small subunit ribosomal RNA", at positions 355 to 776 of the family's 1533-position model. The record is from RNAcentral.